GCAGGAAUCAGCGCGCAGCCUGAUCCAGCCAUGCCGCGUGAGUGAAGAAGGCCUUCGGGUUGUAAAGCUCUUUCGGCCGGAACGAAAUCGUCCGAGCUAAUACCUCGGAUGGAUGACGGUACCGGAAGAAGAAGCACCGGCUAACUACGUGCCAGCAGCCGCGGUAAUU
This 169-nucleotide ribosomal RNA is filed under the name uncultured ammonia-oxidizing bacterium. RNAcentral describes it as "partial 16S ribosomal RNA". It matches the Rfam family "Bacterial small subunit ribosomal RNA", at positions 359 to 525 of the family's 1533-position model. The record is from RNAcentral.